Long non-coding RNA from Homo sapiens (human), 1924 nucleotides. Lineage: Eukaryota; Metazoa; Chordata; Mammalia; Primates; Hominidae. The record is from Ensembl.
GUGUCGCUAGGCUUCGGCCCGGCCGCCGCCGCACAUAAGCUGCGAGGAGGAGCUUUACGACUUCCCGGUCUUCGGGGCCGGGCGCAGCAAGGGCCAGACUCUGCGCUAGCAGGCGCUGCGCGCCAACCGGCCGGCACCUGUCGCAGAAGGUGCAACCGAUCGCACUGUCGCGCCGAAGCUCCUCAAUGGCCAGCGCCAGCUGCAGCCCCGGCCGCCCACUCGCCUCACCUGAGCCUGGGCGAAUCUGGAUUGGGAAAGUUGACAUUAAUCAACUCAUUAUUCCUCCCAGAUUUGUAUUCUCCAGAGUAUCCGGGUCCUUCUCAGAGAAUUAAAAAGCCUGUACAGGUCUAGAUAUUGGUAUUUUUAAUUGAUGAUAAGCUGGAAUAAUAUUAAUACACACAAAGCACGUGUUGUAACUUUUAUUAUGCUUCCUUAGAGGAGCUUGAAAAAUCACAUUUGAGAAGAGGAUUGGAUCCUAGCCAUAACAUAAAUAUAAGGGUGGAACCAAAGUUUUAAUCAAAGAAGGUGGUGUUCAGUUGCUGCUUACAAUAGUUGAUACCCCAGGAUUUGGAGAUGCAGUGGAUAACAGUAAUUGCUGGCAGCCUGUUAUCAAUUACAUUGAUAUUAAAUUUGAGGACUACCUAAAUGCAGAAUCGCGAGUGAACAGAUGUCAGAUGCCUGGUAACAGGGUGCAGUGUUGUUUAUACUUCAUUGCUCCUUCAGGACAUGGACCAUUACAUAACUGAAGACUCCCACCUUCAGGCAGGAUUGGGUAGUACGUGUUUGUAACUACCUGGCAUUGCCUUUUGUUGAGAGAAUUAUCUUCUGGUAACUUCAUUGAAAAGGCCUCUUUAGGCAUGAAAUCACCUGCCAGCUGUGCUGAGGACAGGCUUCACAGAGCUCCUGGAGGCUAAUUAAGGUGCAGAGUUCAGAGCAGAAAGAUGCUUCACUAUACCUGUGGCAGGAUGGCCACCAGGGCCUGUUCCCUGGCCAGAGUAAGCACUCUUUCCCUAGGGAUUUGGAACAGCCCCAUUCUCACCUGGUGUUUACCCCAGGUUUUGAAGAGAUUCCAAACUAGAGCAGCAAGCAAAGUCUAGAGCUGACUGGGGAACCAGCCCUACCCUGGAUAUUGGCCUCUGAUGAAAGCACCACUAAACCUCACCUUCUCUCCUAAAUCUCUUCAGAAAUGCUUACUCUCUGUGAUAGACAUGGAACAGAUUGUUUUGCCUCAGGGAUUUAUUGAUUGAUUUUGCCAAAGUCUUUCCCAAGGCUCCUUUCAAAACUGGACUGAUCCCUUGGUUCUGGGAAUGAGUGGUGAACAUCAGACCUCUGGAAUGGUGGCUGGUCAAUGUCUUUGCCCUCUCAAGUUGCUCUUGAAUGUUGAUUCAACUCAUUAGGACAUACUUGGAUGAUGAAUUAGAAGGAGCAUCUUUGCCCUCUACUUACAGAUCCUAGGAACAAUUUGUGGAAUUAUCAGUAAGCAAUAUCUGUAACAGAUAAAAUGUCUGCUUUCCCUUUGCCCCUCUUAGCCUAUGACAUGCCACAUCCAAUUUGUCUUCGUUCCAACUGUGAGAGGUCUUAAUUUCAUCAUUCUGGCCUUUUGCAGUUAAAUGUUCUCCAAGGAUAUGAUCUAUGGGGAGAGGACUGAUAGUGGAACUAAUCUUUCAAAGUUCUGCUUAAGCAAUUGUAGAUAACAUAGGAGAAGAAACUCUGGAAACAAUUAUGAUUAUCCUAGUUCUGCCCCUGUGGAAAUUCAAUCCGAAACCCUUCAUGUUUUUGCUUCUCUCUUCUCUACAUGGAUGGAAUAUGUUAUACUUUUUUGAGCUGAAAAAUCUAAAUAAUUAGAAAAAGACAAAGUUGUAAUGAGUUUUCUGUUUAAACUUAUAGGACCCUUUCUAAUAAAAGUGUUAUUGUAAUCAUUGAA